Molecule: ribosomal RNA, 172 nt
Filed under: Eptatretus burgeri (inshore hagfish)
Lineage: Eukaryota; Metazoa; Chordata; Myxini; Myxiniformes; Myxinidae
Description: partial 12S rRNA
Source: RNAcentral
AGACGCGGUUAUACAAUUACUUUAGUCUAAUAUAAAACGGCGUAAAGAGUAAACUUUUCUUUCUUUAAUCUCUAAAACUAAACCAAUUUACUAUAGUUAAAUAUGUAAAUUUUUCAAACACCAACUAAAGCAGUUUUAAGAACAAGCUUAUAACUUUACGAAAGUUAGGACC